GACGGACGCUGGCGGCGUGCUUAACACAUGCAAGUCGAACGGAAAGGCCCUGCUUUUGUGGGGUGCUCGAGUGGCGUACGGGUGAGUAACACGUGAGUAACCUGCCCUUGACUUUGGGAUAACUUCAGGAAACUGGGGCUAAUACCGGAUAGGAGCUCCUGCUGCAUGGUGGGGGUUGGAAAGUUUCGGCGGUUGGGGAUGGACUCGCGGCUUAUCAGCUUGUUGGUGGGGUAGUGGCUUACCAAGGCUUUGACGGGUAGCCGGCCUGAGAGGGUGACCGGCCACAUUGGGACUGAGAUACGGCCCAGACUCCUACGGGAGGCAGCAGUGGGGAAUAUUGCACAAUGGGCGGAAGCCUGAUGCAGCAACGCCGCGUGCGGGAUGACGGCCUUCGGGUUGUAAACCGCUUUCGCCUGUGACGAAGCGUGAGUGACGGUAAUGGGUAAAGAAGCACCGGCUAACUACGUG
RNAcentral lists this ribosomal RNA (468 nucleotides) under uncultured bacterium. RNAcentral's name for it is "partial 16S ribosomal RNA". It matches the Rfam family "Bacterial small subunit ribosomal RNA", at positions 28 to 507 of the family's 1533-position model. The record is from RNAcentral.